AGCAGCCGCGGUAAUUCCAGCUCCAAUAGCGUAUAUUAAAGUUGUUGCAGUUAAAAAGCUCGUAGUUGAAUUUCGGGGUCAGUAGGUUGGUCGUGCCACUGGUAUGUACUGGUCUCACUGAUUCCUCCUUCCUGAUGAGCUGUAAUGCCAUUAAUUUGGUGUUGCAGGGAAUCUGGACUGUUACUUUGAAAAAAUUAGAGUGUUUAAAGCAGGCUAACGCUUGAAUACAUUAGCAUGGAAUAAUGAAAUAGGACGUUCGAUCCUAUUUUGUUGGUUUCUAGGAUUGACGUAAUGAUUAAUAGGGAUAGUUGGGGGCAUUAGUAUUCAAUUGUCAGAGGUGAAAUUCUUGGAUUUAUUGAAGACUAACUACUGCGAAAGCAUUUGCCAAGGAUGUUUUCAUUAAUCAAGAACGAAAGUUAGGGGAUCGAAGACGAUCAGAUACCGUCGUAGUCUUAACCAUAAACUAUGCCGACUAGGGAUCGGAUGAUGUUAAUUUUUUAAUGACUCAUUCGGCGCCUUACG
Molecule: ribosomal RNA, 522 nt
Filed under: uncultured Glomeraceae
Lineage: Eukaryota; Fungi; Glomeromycota; Glomeromycetes; Glomerales; Glomeraceae
Description: SSU rRNA
Rfam family: Eukaryotic small subunit ribosomal RNA
Source: RNAcentral